GUCCUUGCCGUAAACGAUGUAUACUUGAUGUAGUUGGGCUCAACCCUGACUGUGUCGAAGCUAACGCGAUAAGUAUACCGCCUGGGGAGUACGCUCGCAAGGGUGAAACUCAAAAGAAUUGACGGGGGCCCGCACAAGCAGUGGAGCAUGUGGUUUAAUUCGAUGCAACGCGAAGAACCUUACCCAGGUUUGACAUACAGGAGACGAUACCAGAGACGGUAUUUUCCGCAAGGACUGCUGUACAGGUGCUGCAUGGCUGUCGU
Molecule: ribosomal RNA, 263 nt
Filed under: uncultured bacterium
Lineage: Bacteria
Description: partial 16S ribosomal RNA
Rfam family: Bacterial small subunit ribosomal RNA
Source: RNAcentral